Meriones unguiculatus (Mongolian gerbil) is the source of this 5096-nucleotide long non-coding RNA. RefSeq lists it as uncharacterized. The transcript has 3 exons. NCBI's taxonomy places the organism in Eukaryota, Metazoa, Chordata, Mammalia, Rodentia, Muridae. The record is from RefSeq and is a predicted model, not a curated record.
GGAGCCGCGGUGGGAAGGAGCGGCCGCCGGACCCCAGCCACAUGAUCAGAAGCGGAAAUACGCAGAGAGAGCGACGGUAGCCCCACGGCCGGAAAAGUUCGACUUGCGGACCUGGUUUUCUAGAAAACGGCUAAAGGCGAGAGCCCGACAUGUUAUGAAAGCUCUCCGUGGUACACACAGACCCACCGUGGGCUUUCAAGUGCUGGGAUUAAGACAUGAAUCACCACCACCGCUGGUACAACUGAUCAAUUUUUAAGAACAGGUAUAAAUGGACAGGUUUGGUGGCAUCCACCUACAAUCUCAGCACUGGGGACAAGCCAGCAAAAUCACAAGCUCGGGCACAAGGCCACACAGGAAGAGGUAAAAAUGAGCCUUUAUGAGAGUGUCAGUUUGGGAAACAUGCAAAUUUAUGUGCUUAUGCUCAAAAAUUUUUGAUAUAGCUCAUAUGUCUGUCUCUGUUCCUAUCUUAGUUCCUAGCACCCAUAUGGUGACUCAUAAUGGCCUGUAAUACAGUGCCAUGGGAUCUGGCACCAUCUACUGUCCUCCAUGAGCACUGGCAUGCACAAGCAAAAUACUAACACAUAAAAAUAACUCUUAAAAAAUAAACUGUAUAGUAAAGUGUGAUGGCUAGUUUGAUGUCAACUUGACACAGCUGGAGUCACUAGAGUAAAGGGAGUGUGACAAGAGAAAAAUGGCUUCAGAAGAUCCAGCUAUAAGGCAUUUUCUUAAUUAAUGAUUGAUGGAGGAGGGCCUAGCCCAUUAUGAGAGGGGCCAUCCCUGGACUAGUGGUCCUAAAUUCUAUAAGAAAGCAGGCUGAGCAAGCCAUGUGGAAUAAGCCAGCACCCCUCUAUGGCCUUUGCAUCUCCUCCUGCCUCCAGUUUCCUGCCCUGUUUGAGUUCCUAUCCUGACUUCCUUCAGUGAUGAACAGUGGAGAUAGAAGUGUAAGACACUUAAAGUGUAAGACAAAUAAACCAGUUCCUCCUCAAGCUGCUUUGGUCAUGAUGUUUCAACACAGCAACAGAACAUAGGUUUUUCUUCAGCAUCAGAGAUUUAUAGAACAAAAGUCUCAUCGUUGGCACUUACUAUGCUUUUCCAGGAGUCUUUGCUUCAUUGGCGCUGAUGAUGAAUAAAGGAAACAGGAUUGAAAAUAGGCAGCCACUGUUAAAAAAAAAAAAAAGUCAACUUCACAAGGCAUGACUUUAGGAAAGAUAUUAGGGUAUUAGAAGCCUCAGAUUUCUUUGCCUACUGGGCAAACACCAUGAUGUAAUGAAACCUUAAUAUAUCCUAUAAACACAGCUCAUGAAAUGAACAAAAAAAAUUCUGAAUUUCUAAGAAUCUGCCUCCAGGAGGCAACAUAGAAGAUAGUAGACUAUAUUUUAAUACUGAUAAAUAUAAGCUAUUAUUAAUAACAACUGCAAAAAAAAUUUCCUGAUGAUCAAAUGAUGCUACUACAGAAGCAAACUAAUAAAAGAUGAUUACUAAAACAUACUUGCUACCUCAGUUUUUAUUUUUCUAGUCUUUCGAAUUCUUUCUCUAGCCAAAUUACCUGAUGAUAUAGGAGGAUUGCAUUGCUGUGAGGAAAGCCAGGGGCAAGCCAAAUCCAAAGUAGUAAGGCCAAUUCCGUUCUAUGUUUGACAAUCGCUGGUGCAUUUCAAUUCCUAAAACAAGGGUUAGGGUUAGGGUUAGGGUCAGUACUCAUUUACAAUACUAACUGGAAGACACAAGGCUUGGGUUUUAGGCACAAAGCUACCAUUUGGAACACAAAUACAGCAUAUAAACUGUAUAAAUCUAUCAGAUUCAUGAUGCUGUACACUUCUGAUUUUAGCAUCCUGGAAGGCAUAGGCAACUUGGUCUACAUAAGGAGUUACUGACCAGCCAGGACUGGUAAGACCCUAUCUCAAAGAAUUGUACGAAUCUGAUACAAAGCUCCAAUGCAAAGAUUUUAUAAUAAUAAUAAUUUCAAAGUAACAUUAAUUUUAGCAUCAGCAUCCUUUGUCAGGAUGGUCUACAAAGCAAAAUAUCAAAAAGGAUGGCAUCUUGGGCAGUGGUGGCUCACGCCUUUAAUCUCAGCACUCAGGAGGCAGAGGCAGGAGGAUCUCUGAGUUUGAAGCCAGCCUGUUCUACAGAGUGAGUGAGCUCCAGUAGAGGCAGGACUACAUAGAGAAUCCCUGGAGAGAGAGAGAGAGAGAGAGAGAGAGAGAGAGAGAGAGAGAGAGAGAGAAAGAAGGAAGAAAGAAAGAAAGAAAGAAAGAAAGAAAGAAAGAAAGAAAGAAAGAAAAAAGAAAAAGGGUGGCAUCUCUAUUGAAAGCAGUUACCUACUUUCGGCCACACUCACCAAGAUUACUAUGCAAAAUGUUUGUUGUUUGUUUGGGUUUAGUAUAUAUAUAUAUAUAUAUAUAUAUAGAGAGAGAGAGAGAGAGAGAGAGAGAAAGAGAGAGAGAGAGCACCAGGUAGUUUGAAACUCAAGACCCUCCUUUCUCUACUUCAAAAUGAGUGCAAGAAUUAUAAGUGCUGUAGCUAGAGAGAUGGUUCAGUGGUUAAGAGCACUGACUGCUCUCCCAGAGGAUGUGGGUUCAAUGCCCAGCUCACACACAUGGAAGCUCACAACUAUCUGCAACUCCAAAAUCUGAUAUCCUCACAUAGACACACAUACAGACAAAAAAACCAAUGCACAUAAAAUACAAUUAAAAAAAAUUUUAAAAAGGGGGGCGGCUGGAGAAAUGGCUCAAUGGUUAAGAGCCAUGGUUAAGUCUGCUCUUCCAGAGGUCUUGAGUUCAAUUCCCAGCAACCACAAGAUAGCUCACAGGCCAUCUAUAAUGGGAUCUGAUGCCCUCUUCUGGCAUGUGGUAUACAUGCAGAUAGAGCACUCAUAUACAUAAAAUAAAUAAAUCUUUUUAAAAAAAGAAAAAGAAAAGAGGGCUGGAGAGAUGGCUUAGAGCUUUAGAGCACUGACUGCUCUUCUAAAGGUCCUGAGUUCAAUUUCCAGCAACCACAUGGUGGCUUAUAACCAUCUAUAAUGAGAUUUGGUGGUCUCUUCUGGCAUGCAGGUGUACAUGCAGACAGAACAUAUACAUAAUAAAUCUUUAAAAAAAAGAGAGAGAGAAUUUAUUUUGCCCUAAGACAGUGUUCCUCUGUGUAGCCUUGGCUGUCCUGGACUCACUUUGUAGAUCAGGCUGGCCUUCAGCUCAGAGAUCUGCCUGCCUCUUUUAAGAAAGAAAGAAAGGAAAGAAAGAAAAAAAAGGAAAGGAGGAAGGGAGAAAGGAAAGAGGAAGGGGAAAGGAAAAGGGGAAAGGAAGGGGAAGGGAAAAGGAAAGGGAGGAGGGGGAAAGGGAAGAAGGAGGAGAGGGGGAGGGGAGGGAGAGGGGGAGGGGAGAAGGGGGAAAGGGAAAGGAAAAGAAAAAGAAAAAGGAAGAAAAAAAAAAAAAAAGAAAACAUUACAUGUGCCGGACUCCACCCAGAGCAUAAAAGUCUUUCUACAAAAUUCCCAGCUGGUAUGAUGGCAUACACCUGUAGUCCCAGCAUUCAAAAAACAAAAGUACUGAAGUUUGAAACAUUAAAAAAAAAAAAAAAUCAGGCCACCAAAGCUACACAGCAAGACCCCAGCUGAAAAGAAAAAAAAAAAAAAAAAAAAAAAGGUGAUCCAAACCAAAGUCAACACUCUGGAAGUAGAUGAAGGCAGAUCAGAUCAGAAGUUCAAGGUCACCCUCAGCUGCAUAGCAAGUUCAUUAGCUACAUGAGAUCUUGACUCAAAAGUUUAAAAAAGUGGUUUAAAAGAAAAUAACUAAAAUUUAAGAAUAAAUAAAUCCCACAGUAAUCAAAUGAGCUGGGCUUGAUAGUACACAUAUGUAAUCCCAGCACUUGGGAGGUAGAAGCAAGAAGCUGGAAAGAAAGCUGAAGGCCAGCCUGAUCUACAAAGUGAGUCCAGGACAGCCAACUCUAAGGGUGAGCAGUCAAGGCUAGCCUGGGUUACACAAAAAGGCCAUGUCUUAAAUUAAAUUUAUUAUUAUUCUAAAUACACUGGCAUCUACUUAACAUCUCUAAAACAACUUGUGCUCUUGUUGCCAACUUCUGGCCCAGACAGAACUACAUCGCAUUAAACACUAAAAUGGUAAUUCUACAAUGCUAAACCCCUGGCCCCAAAGACUGAUGAACCUACUAGGCCAAAUGUAAUCUCUCUUCUUGACAUAACUCUCUCUCUCUCUCUCAAAGCCAACGUCCUUUCAGAAACUUGCUAAGAGCGUAAGUAUUAAAAAGCUUAGUGUGGGGGCACCAACACUUCCGAACGGAGCUUCUCUUUUCUGUGUCUCCUUAUAUGGACUUACCUUUAUUGAACCAACGGUACUCAAAGCAGUACAGUGAGUAGAGAAGAGACAUAUGCAGCAGACUAACCAGCUGACCCACAAGAUGGAUUGGGAAGAGACUCACAAACAUCCCCUGAGGAACAAAUGGAGCACACCUUAAUUCCAGGAUGUCAGAUACUUCGCACCCACCACUUCAAUCAGAGAUGGCCUCCUAGCCCCUUCAAAUGUUGUUUAAUAGUAGGAUCAGAAUCUCCAAGGAAGAAGAGCAUUCUGCCUACAAACCAGAAGAGGGCACCAUAUCUCACCAUUGAUGGUUAUGAGCUACCAUGUGGUUGCUGGGAAUUGAGCUCAGGACCUUUGGAAGAACAGCCAGUGUUUUUAACCUCUGAGCCAUCUCUCCAGCCCCAGUAUUCAUUCUUGUACAAUCCAAAUUUCAGUAAAAACUAUGAUAGUUCUCAAUUAUAGGUAACAUUUUUUGUUUUGUUUUGAUCUAGGUUUCAAUAACAACCAAUAGUUACAACCAGAAACAAGGAGAAUCUUGCUAUCUGGCCUUAUCUACUUCUCUGAUCCCACAGAUCUCCUAGCCAAAAAAUGUUCAGUGUUAACACAAAUUAUUUAUCACAAUACUAAAACCUGUCAAUGGAUCAUAUAAACAUACAUUCAGGACUUUUCCAAGGCAUCUGUUUAUGCAUAACUGAAUAGAAACAAAAAUCACUACAGAUAGCCUGAUAGUGGUAGUGCCUUUAAUCCCAGCAUUUGGGAGGCAGAGGCCAGCCUGGUCUACAGAGUCCCAGG